Molecule: long non-coding RNA, 419 nt
Organism: Labeo rohita (rohu)
Lineage: Eukaryota; Metazoa; Chordata; Actinopteri; Cypriniformes; Cyprinidae
Exons: 3
Source: RefSeq, a predicted model, not a curated record
GUUUUUCUCCAAAAACAUAAUUUCUUUACGACUGAAGAAAAAAAGACAUGAACAUCUUGGAUGACAAUGGGAGUUUACUCCAGUUCCAGAUUGGAUCCAGCCUCACUUGUGAAGACUUCAGAUGAUGACAACACUCAACAAGACUUCAGAUGAUGGCAACUGGACAUACAAAACUGACAAAUAUUAUUCUUAUAUUGCCUUUACGGCAACACUCUGCAGGAUGACGAAAAAGAAAUGACAAAAUGGCAAAAACACACUUUUUGGAUCAUCAAAAUGCUGAGUUUUGCUGACAAAUAAACUGGGUAUCUCUGAGAAAGAUUAAACAUUGUUCUUUUACAUGUAUUUCCAACAUUGUAACAAUACAAAUUGGAUUGAAGAUUGUUAAACUUAGCCUUUAAUAAUCUUGAAGGAUAGUGUGU